RNAcentral lists this ribosomal RNA (450 nucleotides) under uncultured bacterium. RNAcentral describes it as "partial 16S ribosomal RNA". It matches the Rfam family "Bacterial small subunit ribosomal RNA", at positions 354 to 796 of the family's 1533-position model. The record is from RNAcentral.
GUGAGGAAUAUUGCGCAAUGGAGGCAACUCUGACGCAGCCAUGCCGCGUGCAGGAAGAAGGCCUUCGGGUUGUAAACUGCUUUUGUACGGAACGAAACGGUCCGGGUUAAUACCCUGGGCUAAUGACGGUACCGUAAGAAUAAGCACCGGCUAACUUCGUGCCAGCAGCCGCGGUAAUACGAAGGGUGCAAGCGUUAUCCGGAUUCAUUGGGUUUAAAGGGUGCGUAGGCGGAGCGUUAAGUCAGUGGUGAAAUCCUGCAGCUUAACUGUAGACUUGCCAUUGAUACUGGCGCUCUUGAGUGCGCUUGAAGUGGGCGGAAUGUGCCGUGUAGCGGUGAAAUGCUUAGAUAUGGCACAGAACACCAAUUGCGAAGGCAGCUCACUAAGGCGAUACUGACGCUGAGGCACGAAAGCGUGGGGAUCGAACAGGAUUAGAAACCCCGGUAGUCC